Molecule: ribosomal RNA, 209 nt
Filed under: Orbiliaceae sp.
Lineage: Eukaryota; Fungi; Ascomycota; Orbiliomycetes; Orbiliales; Orbiliaceae
Description: partial large subunit ribosomal RNA
Source: RNAcentral
GCUUGCAAUCAGACUCGCCUUCAGUUGAUCAGCCUUCCUUCUGGUUGGUGCACUCUGCUGUUGGCGGGCCAGCAUCAGUUGGGGCGGUGGGACAAAGGCGGCAGGAAUGUGGCUCGCUUCGGUGAGUGUUAUAGCCUGCUGUGUCAUGCCACCAGUCCCGACUGAGGUCCGCGGUUCGCCUAGGAUGCUGGCUUAAUGGUUGUAAGCGA